AAUGUACUCCCUCCGUUCAGAAUUACUUGUCUUAAAAAUGGAUGUAUCUAGACGUAUUUUAGUUCUAGAUACAUCCAUAUCCGAGACAAGUAAUUCCGAAGGAGGGAGUAUGUG
Molecule: non-coding RNA, 114 nt
Organism: Triticum urartu
Lineage: Eukaryota; Viridiplantae; Streptophyta; Magnoliopsida; Poales; Poaceae
Source: Rfam